GACCGCCCCGGGGACCGCCGGCUGAGUUCCGGGUCGCCGCGAAGCCGCUGGGCUGUGCUGGAGCCCACCUGGCCUGACCGCUCGCUCGGUCCCGUACCCCAGCCGCGCUCAGGCCUCACCACUAGCUGAGCUGGCGCUAGCACAUCCUGUUUUGACCACACCCUGAAGAUUUGAGAAGUGUUCCUUCAUCCUAAGAGUUUCUCUGCAAAAGUUAGUGUCCUUCCAGAUGAUGAAUCAAACUUCCGCUCCAAAUGUCUUGUGUCGAGUGUCUGCAAAGCACGGUACCAGGAGCUUUGGCGGAGAGACCAUGAGCUACACUGCGUAAGGAGCAAAAGCUUUCAGUGAGACCUGAGGUCUCUUCACGUCACUGCUUGAGUGUCCUCACAACAUGGCAGCAGGAUUCCCCCAGAAUGAGAGGUCCAAGAGACAAAGGCAGAAGCAGGAAUGCCUUUCAUCUCGGACAUUACACCUUUUCACCUCCAUGGUGCUCUUUUGGUCACAGAAACCAGCCCUGAGUCAGCAUGGGAGGAGAGUACAUACAAGCAUGAAUACCAGGAGGGAUAAAAUCUGCUUAAAAUGGCCAUUGAGAGCAGGCUUGAUCCACAGAAUCAAGGUUACAGCAGUAGAGCACAGAGGAAAGCAGCAGAAGGUGGAGGUGUUCCAGGAGAAAUGCACUCCCGUCCAAAGGGGAGGCACAUCACAGAGCGGCAGGUCAGAGGACUGGUUUGGGUACAGGUCUGUUCUCAGGUAACCAGGCUGACCUGCUCUGCAGACAGGUGGGAAGAGAGCUGUAUGGGCUGAUUCUCACCCAGGAGUAGGCUCAACGACUCAGAGAUUUUAGAACCAAAAGGUCACAGAAGUCUCUCAUUUCAACUCCUGGCUCUUACAGAAUAAGGAACCGAAAUACAAAGAAGUGAAAUGAUGGGCUCCACAGCCAAAGGACCUCAAGCCUAUUUUUUGUCAUUUUUUUGUUUUGGGGGGCAUGGUACGGAGGUGUCAGGGAGACAGCUUAGGACCAGUGCCUCCCGUUCCUGCGGGCAUUGGGACUGCUGCUGAGUCACAGAGCAGCCAAACAGAGGUCUAACGAGACACGGGGAAGUCUAGAAGCACUUGUUCCAAUAGGACCUGUUUCAUAAACAAGAGGACCAGUUUCAUAAACAAUGCUUGGCACCUGGCGUGUCUUAUGAAGGAAUUCACCCAAGAAGAUCUUUUCCUUAGAAACUCUUCUAGCCUCCAGAGUCUGGUUUUAAUUGCCUUUAGCAAAAUUUCAGAACCUUUAGUGCACUGCAGGAGCUGAGCUGGAUACAAAGAUGCACAAGAUACAAUAAAGAGUAAGCCUUGUACUUCUAGGAGUCCUAACUCUCACGGGGUCAGAAGUGAAUCAAAGGAUUAUGAUACAACGGGAUAAAUAUAAUAAUAUCUGUGGCACAGAAGAGGGAGGGAGUAACUGCUGGGGGGGUGGGGAGCUUGGGAAAGUGGACUGAGAAGGCCUCACGAAAGUGACAUGAUGGAAGGUGAAGAAGGAACGAUAGGAGCACCUCAGACCUCCAAGUCCAACUCUAAAAUAACAGCAUUCAACCAAACUUCCCUGAAACACCACUAUGAUCCCUCAAGGAUUGACAAAGCAGCUGUUCUUGCCCCCAUUUACUUCUCAUUAUGUAAUGGAAACUGCGCAUACAUGUAACAUGUUUAAAAGUAAAUGAUGGAUAAAAUGAGCCCACGGGCCCCAUCAGUCAGGAUCAGCAGGGCCAGGCUGACCUUCAGAGACGGUGCACCAGAAAGUGAAGGAGGCUCUUCACAUAUAAUUUAAUACCGCAACCACAUGCUUCUAAGGAAGCCCUGCACAGUUCUGUCUUGCCCCACAAUAACACUUUUCAAAUGUUUUUGAAAAUAUCAGAUAGCCAACCGAGACUCGAAUGAUGCUUUUCUCCUUAUUGUUGUGCUCCUGCUUUGCUAGCGCCCCAAGCACGUUUGGCCUGUCCGCGGGUGAUCCUGCUCUGACCAGGCAGCCCCUUUCCACUCCAAGACACCCCAGACGAGGCUGGCCUCGACAAGCUCAUGUUCCUGUUCUUAAGCAAAUGGACGGAGAGCUGGGCUUUCACUUCCCCACACAGCCCAUGCAUUAUGACUUUGUGCUUUACCCAUUCUGUCAAUAACCUUACAACUCAGGAAAGCCACCUGCAGCCUUGCGGUCUGGCUAGACAUGAAGAAAGGGGCUGACGUGAGAAACUGUUUCCUUACAUGAGCUCGGCAGCAGGUGGUCAGAGGAAGACCGUAUGACAGUGAAGCAUUUGUGAGCGCAGGCAGGCGUCUGAAACAGGUCUGAGUGUAGCACUUGCUCUUUCACUUCACCGUGGGAUCUUGGGCCAGUGAUUUCACCCUGGUGAGCCCAAGUUUUAUCUUCUAUAAAUGUGCUUCAAAAGAGCACCUACCUUGUGAGGUCAUUCUUUCAACACAUACUUCAAAUGUCCCUACUGUGUGCCAGGCACCGUUCUUGAAGAAAGAGAUACAAUGGUGAACAAACAAAAAUCCCAGCCCUAGAGCUUACCUUCUAGGGUAAGAAGAUAGACAACAAAAAUAAAAAGAAUAUUUAUCGUGUUAGAAAGGAAAGGGGUUAGGGAGCGUUGGGAGAGAUGCCAUUUUAGGUGGAAUGACCAGAAGGGCCUGAGCGAGCAGGUGACUUGGUAGAUGCAAGCUAAGCAGCAAAAGGACAUCCGGGGGCCCACCUUCCAGGGAGAAGGAACAGCCUGAGCAGAGGCCCUGAGGCAGAAGCAAGUCUAGUAGGUCUGAAGAACAGUGAGUGAAUCUGGCUGAAACCGACUGAGGGUGGGAAGAGACAGGAGGGAAAUGAGGUCAGAGCUCAGGAGGGCAGAAGAGUGGCAGGCUCCGACUUGCAUUCGAAUAGCAUCACUCCUGGGAAACCGGUUGGGAAGCUACUGUAGUGAUCCAGGUGAGAGAGAAAGCACACCACGUCCUAACCUCGGCGCCUGGCACGAACCGGCUCUGGAUAAGAGUGCCCACUGACCUGAAGCCGCGCGUGCGUAGCUGGCGAGGGAAGACCUCAGCUUUGUUCUCCUUUCUGCCCCUCUCUCAGCCAUCCAUCUACUGCCCACGUCGUCUUCCUCAAUCACCCUGCUUGUCAUCUUCUUCCCCUUUUCUUCUCUCUCUGCUUCCUCUUCACUCUGCUGUCUGCCUUUACUUUCUCUUAUGAAUGGUCUGUCCUCCAGGGCCGAGUUUUGGGGGGGUGGUUUUGCAUCUUGGGGAGAGAGCAGUGCACCUCCUGGCCUGUGAGUUCCACAGGGCGCAUCAGUGGGACCAGACGUGGGGUGACAGGCACAGAAGGUGCCCAGAGAGGUGGCUCUGCCGUGCAGGUUGUACUGGGGCCGUAGGCAGAGUUUUGUAGCCUGGUCAGCAUUCCACCACGACAAGAGAAGCCCCUCUCGGAGUUUUAGGCAAUUCCGUAAAGGACGCCGGUGCAGGGGGUUAAGAGGCUGACACCACCGCAGCUAGACCAGGAGAGCAGAGAUCAAAAGGCCGUUCUCAGGAAAUCAAGAAGUGUAGGGACUGUAGGGAGACCAUCACAGAUAACCCCAAAGCCUUCAGCACCAAAGCGAGUGCUUCUCAGAAGGAACCUCCCUGAUACCAGCCACCACUUUAGUGUCGCAGUACCAGGUAAAUGGUCACAGCAGACAACAGGGGCAUUCCCAGAAGGCAUUCUGACAGCAGGACCACCAGCCAUGACGUAACUAAGCAUCGUGACCCAACUCGACGCGACAUAACACAGAAAUGUCUGCAAAUCACAGGAACAUGUGGCACUACAGCCAAAUUCAUCAUGUCCCUGGCUCAACUUGCCCUCAUCCGGAGCUUAAGAUACCCAGGGCCACUCUCAUCCCCCUGACAAGGUGACAGAAGGGAAGUCAGAGUGGAGAGACACAGGACCUUAACUAACUGAUUUAAAAUAUCUUACUUUUGCUAAUUUUACAAAAACAUCUGGCCCUGUGCAUAUGCACGUUGCUCGGACCCCUCCCAGGGCCCUCGAGGGUGUGCUAUGAGUGGGGGCUCCUGAAGCUUUAGCUUCUCAUGGAAAAUCUGUCUUUGCCUGGAACCGAAGCAAUUUACCUUCACUGGCCAGAGAGCUGAUUCCAUCAUAGGAAGGGGCUUUGGGCCAGUGUGAAGUUUCCUUAGGAAUUGUUUGCAGCAGUAAUGUUUUUUACUCAGCUUGGAAACUGCUAAUAGCACUACUAGAUGAUUUAUUAAAUUGAUACAAAUUUGAAUUAGUAGAAAAUGAGCCACUGUGUGUAGCCUUUACUCUCAGACUUCUGAAUCACCUCCCUUUAAGUCAGUAGGACCCAAACUAGUCUAUUCAACAAAAAAUUAUUGCGGGCAUACGCCAUGCGGGUACAACCAUGAACUCUGAUUGUAAGGGGCCUUCAGGGGAGGAGACCAGUAAUCAAAUAAUCAGUCAAGGACUAGAGGGCGUCCCACUGAGAAAAUGGACAAGUGAUCCUAAUCUAGUGUUCUAUAACAGGAAAGACUGAAGGAUUCAUUCUUUCAACAAUUUUGGGGGGCUGCCUACUCUGUGCCCACACAAUGCUAAGGGCCAGGAUAAGGGCGAGCAAAAAAGCUGCGGCAUCCCUGCCUUUCUAGAACCGUCCCCUGGAUGAAACAUUAUCACAGAAUCACAUUGCAUCUAUCCUUACUGACAACCCAGCGAUGGCCUCUCUGAAGGAGUGCAGCAGGUGCACCAGUGAGCAUAUUUGAAGGGGGUUGGUGCAGCAGGACAGACUUUCAGGAGGGGCCACAGUGCACUGAGAACCAGAGGCAAUUUAACCCAUGAGUGAGGAGGUGGCAGGGCUUGUGGGAGUCUCCCAGGCAAAAGGAGCUGCAGGAAAAAAGACCUUGGGGGCGGGAGGAAUGUAGGAGGGAGAAAAAGACAAAAAGAAGCCAGCAUGGCUGAGCAGCUCCAGCGGAGGACAGGAGAGAGUAUGGAUACAUGGGGCUGGAAAAACAGCAAUGCACUGGUGUGCCUAAAGCCAACGGGAGCCCCAGAAGUUCCUGAGGAGUGGAGAAACAUUGCUCGGUUGGCAUUAAAUGGACAGCUCUGGCUGCAGCGAGAAUAUUGGAUUACGAGGGUUGCUUUGACAGUAGCUGCAUCCUAAUUACGUCCCCCUUUCUCACUUUCCUUUCCGGUAGCCACAGAGAUUUAAAUAAAUGCCUGCCAGAUACUCAGUUCAAAGCACCCGACAAUGAAGGGCUAUGUGGCUUGGAGAAGAACACACUGCCUUCAGUCAGGCAGACGCAAAUUAGAUCUUCCCUCCACCUCCACUCAACUGGUGGCCCCGGCGAGUCACUCACCCUCUCUCCAACCCACUUGCGAGUCACUCGCCCUAUUUACAACCCACUCUCCACCCGCUCCGUAACAUGGGGAGAACAAUGCCUCCCGCGCGGAGUUAAUGAGCAACAGAAAGGGGUGCGCAAAUUAUCUGGCAUUUGGCAGAACUCGGGACACACCAGCUACUAUUGGAAGUGACUGCAGUGUAGGCAAGCUAGUCGGGAGAAGAUUUCCAACCAGAAGUAACGCUAGCAUAAGCACUGGGAAUAUAGUGCAAUCUCUCCUAUUUAAAAAAAAAAAAAAAGAAAUAUACACAAUAUCAUAUAUAUUUAUGUGAAGAGUACAUUUUUAUAGAGAGCCGUCUAAUGAAAUCUUCCUACCAGCAGUGUUGGGAAACAAGUCUAUGUUAUCUACGCAAUUAAAAUAUAUACACAUAUACAAUAAAGUUGAAAAGUUUUCUCAAUAAAUUACGUUGUGCAAGA
Non-coding RNA from Leptonychotes weddellii (Weddell seal), 5814 nucleotides. The record is from RefSeq and is a predicted model, not a curated record. NCBI's taxonomy places the organism in Eukaryota, Metazoa, Chordata, Mammalia, Carnivora, Phocidae.